UACGGGAGGCAGCAGUGGGGAAUAUUGGACAAUGGGCGCAAGCCUGAUCCAGCCAUGCCGCGUGAGUGAUGACGGCCCUAGGGUUGUAAAGCUCUUUUACCUGGGAAGAUAAUGACGGUACCAGGAGAAUAAGCCCCGGCUAACUUCGUGCCAGCAGCCGCGGUAAUACGAAGGGGCUAGCGUUGUUCGGAAUCACUGGGCGUAAAGCGCACGUAGGCGGAUAAUUAAGUCAGGGGUGAAAUCCCGAGGCUCAACCUCGGAACUGCCUUUUGAUACUGGUUAUCUUGAGUCCGGGAGAGGUGAGUGGAACUGCGAGUGUAGAGGUGAAAUUCGUAGAUAUUCGCAAGAACACCAGUGGCGAAGGCGGCUCACUGGCCCGGAACUGACGCUGAGGGUGCGAAAGCGUGGGGAGCGAAACAGGGAUUAGAUACC
RNAcentral lists this ribosomal RNA (432 nucleotides) under uncultured bacterium. Its description in RNAcentral is "bacterial SSU rRNA". It matches the Rfam family "Bacterial small subunit ribosomal RNA", at positions 340 to 786 of the family's 1533-position model. The record is from RNAcentral.